Molecule: transfer RNA, 81 nt
Filed under: Apiotrichum porosum
Lineage: Eukaryota; Fungi; Basidiomycota; Tremellomycetes; Trichosporonales; Trichosporonaceae
Description: Trichosporon porosum tRNA
Rfam family: tRNA
About the family: Transfer RNA (tRNA) molecules are approximately 80 nucleotides in length. Their secondary structure includes four short double-helical elements and three loops (D, anti-codon, and T loops).
Source: Rfam by way of RNAcentral
GGCAAUGUGGCGGAGUGGUUAACGCGAUUGACUAGAAAUCAAUUUCCUUCGGGAGCAUCCGUUCGAAUCGGGUCAUUGUCG